GACAGAGGUCCCGAGCGUUAUGCGGAAUCACUGGGCUUAAAGCGUGUGUAGGCGGAUCGUUAAGUGCCUUGUGAAAUCCCAUGGCUUAACCAUGGAACUGCUUGGCAUACUGGCGGUCUUGAGCCACUUAGGGGCAACCGGAACAAAUGGUGGAGCGGUGAAAUGCGUAGAUAUCAUUUGGAACGCCAAUGGUGAAAACAGGUUGCUGGGAGUGUGCUGACGCUGAGACACGAAAGCCAGGGGAGCGAACGGG
Molecule: ribosomal RNA, 253 nt
Filed under: uncultured bacterium
Lineage: Bacteria
Description: partial 16S ribosomal RNA
Rfam family: Bacterial small subunit ribosomal RNA
Source: RNAcentral